Molecule: long non-coding RNA, 480 nt
Organism: Chelonia mydas (Green sea turtle)
Lineage: Eukaryota; Metazoa; Chordata; Testudines; Cheloniidae
Exons: 3
Source: RefSeq, a predicted model, not a curated record
UGGGGAGGGGCCAGAGUCUCCUGAGCAGAGUGACUCUGUGGGGUGCCGUUAGAAAAGGGGCUUUUUGGUUGUGAUGCUCAAGGUGUAACGGGAGGAGAGUGGAGGGCGGAUCCCCGCCGUGUGGGAGAGGCAAACAGAGGAGCCUACGAGACGUUGCCGACUGAGAUGGUAACUUACUUGUUUUUUUCCCCUUGUGCUGGGUUUAGUACCAAGGAAAAAGAAGUCAAGCCUCAGAGUCUACUGCCCUCAUGCGACGGAAAGUGAGUGAGAGCAGCGAGCCUGUGACCGUUGGUGAUGCCAGGCAAGAGGCCUCCAUCUGGGAGCCGAGCAAUCGCCAGUCUCGGUGAGAGGCUGCUCGUUUCUCUGGUCAGGAACGGUGUCUUCUCCACAGCUGAAGGUUGGAUCCAAGAGGAUGACUCCAGGUGGACACGGGUAGGUGUGCAUUCCCACAGGUGAGGUCUCGGGAGCCAUGGAGAAGUC